ACUAAUCUUCGGGGCAAGGUGACCUGCUGACGAAAGGCAGGAAUUCCUGACCGGCGGUUGAGCCCGCGACCCUCCAACACGUUCCAUUAUUUUAGAAUAGCUUAUAGCGAAAGUGGUGGUGGGAGAUCUGGUAAGAUUCCAGAGCCGAUGGUACAGUCCAGAUGAGAGAAGAUUAAA
RNAcentral lists this non-coding RNA (177 nucleotides) under Candidatus Omnitrophota bacterium. RNAcentral's name for it is "Omnitrophica WOR FMN sequence". It matches the Rfam family "FMN riboswitch aptamer (RFN element)". From Rfam's summary of the family: The RFN element is a highly conserved domain that is found frequently in the 5'-untranslated regions of prokaryotic mRNAs that encode for flavin mononucleotide (FMN) biosynthesis and transport proteins. This element is a metabolite-dependent riboswitch that directly binds FMN in the absence of proteins. Lineage: Bacteria; Pseudomonadati; Candidatus Omnitrophota. The record is from RNAcentral.